RNAcentral lists this ribosomal RNA (888 nucleotides) under uncultured bacterium. RNAcentral's name for it is "bacterial SSU rRNA". It matches the Rfam family "Bacterial small subunit ribosomal RNA", at positions 60 to 914 of the family's 1533-position model. The record is from RNAcentral.
AGUCGAGCGAGCAAAGUUAAAGGAAUACUUCGGUAGGAAUUUAAUAGCGCGAGCGGCGGAUGGGUGAGUAACACGUGGGCAACCUGCCCUUUAGCUUGGGAUACCACUUGGAAACAGGUGCUAAUACCAAAUAAGAAGUAAGAGCGCAUGCUCAAGCUAUGAAAGGCGGCUUUCGAGCUGUCACUAAAGGAUGGGCCCGCGGUGCAUUAGCUAGUUGGUAAGGUAACGGCUUACCAAGGCAAUGAUGCAUAGCCGAGUUGAGAGACUGAUCGGCCACAUUGGGACUGAGACACGGCCCAAACUCCUACGGGAGGCAGCAGUAGGGAAUCUUCCACAAUGGACGCAAGUCUGAUGGAGCACCGCCGCGUGAGUGAAGAAGGUUUUCGGAUCGUAAAGCUCUGUUGUUGGUGAAGAAGGACAUGGAUAGUAACUGAUCUAUGUUUGACGGUAAUCAACCAGAAAGUCACGGCUAACUACGUGCCAGCAGCCGCGGUAAUACGUAGGUGGCAAGCGUUGUCCGGAUUUAUUGGGCGUAAAGCGAACGCAGGCGGGAGAACAAGUCAGCUGUGAAAGCCCUCGGCUUAACCGAGGAACGGCAACUGAAACUGUUUUUCUUGAGUGCAGAAGAGGAGAGUGGAACUCCAUAUGUAGCGGUGAAAUGCGUAGAUAUAUGGAAGAACACCAGUGGCGAAGGCGGCUCUCUGGUCUGUAACUGACGCUGAGGUUCGAAAGCAUGGGUAGCGAACAGGAUUAGAUACCCUGGUAGUCCAUGCCGUAAACGAUGAGUGCUAAGUGUUGGGAGGUUUCCGCCUCUCAGUGCUGCAGCUAACGCAUUAAGCACUCCGCCUGGGGAGUACGACCGCAAGGUUAAAACUCAAAGGAAUUGAC